GACGAACCGUGCGACCGUUGUUCGGAUUCACUGGGCUUAAAGGGCGCGUAGGCGGCUUGCCAAGUCAGGGGUGAAAUCUUUCGGCUCAACCGGAAAACGGCCCCUGAUACUGGCGGGCUUGAGGGAGGUAGGGGCGGAUGGAACUUCCGGUGGAGCGGUGAAAUGCGUAGAUAUCGGAAGGAACGCCGGUGGCGAAAGCGAUCCGCUGGACCUCCUCUGACGCUGAGGCGCGAAAGCCAAGGGAGCAAACGGG
This 253-nucleotide ribosomal RNA is filed under the name uncultured bacterium. RNAcentral describes it as "partial 16S ribosomal RNA". It matches the Rfam family "Bacterial small subunit ribosomal RNA", at positions 524 to 776 of the family's 1533-position model. The record is from RNAcentral.